GCUAAUACCGCAUACGUCCUACGGGAGAAAGCAGGGGAUCUUCGGACCUUGCGCUAAUAGAUGAGCCUAAGUCGGAUUAGCUAGUUGGUGGGGUAAAGGCCUACCAAGGCGACGAUCUGUAGCGGGUCUGAGAGGAUGAUCCGCCACACUGGGACUGAGACACGGCCCAGACUCCUACGGGAGGCAGCAGUGGGGAAUAUUGGACAAUGGGGGGAACCCUGAUCCAGCCAUGCCGCGUGUGUGAAGAAGGCCUUAUGGUUGUAAAGCACUUUAAGCGA
This 278-nucleotide ribosomal RNA is filed under the name Acinetobacter sp. LM2305. Its description in RNAcentral is "partial 16S ribosomal RNA". It matches the Rfam family "Bacterial small subunit ribosomal RNA", at positions 162 to 442 of the family's 1533-position model. The record is from RNAcentral. Lineage: Bacteria; Pseudomonadati; Pseudomonadota; Gammaproteobacteria; Moraxellales; Moraxellaceae.